UUUUUCUUUUCAUGUUGAAUGAAUCAAGUCUUAAUUUUUUUAUUUAUACUGUUGCUGCUUGUUCCGUGAUUGCUCUUGUCCGAUUUUCUGUGGAUUUGCUUAUUCCGAGAUAUUUCUGAACUCGCUGCUGAGGACGUGGCAUCAUAGGUUAAAACUUACUAAUUGAGUAAUAUUAUUAUAUGCGAAUAAUGUAAUAAUGAUAUGGAUAAAAUCAAUCAAAAAUACAGAAUGAUAAAUAAAUUGAAAUUGAAAUUUUAAAGUUACAAUCAGCAGGAGAAGGUUGAUACUAAUAAGAGUAUGAGUGAAGAUUUGAGAACAAGGAAGACGACAAUCAACCUGAUAGCGACGACUCUGGAUGAAGCGGAAGAGGUGUCAGCAGCGAUGCUGGCGGAGUACCCAACUGGAGCCAAUACGAAGAAACC
This 422-nucleotide long non-coding RNA is filed under the name Zostera marina. RNAcentral's name for it is "long non-coding RNA (ZMAR_LNC005904)". The record is from RNAcentral. Lineage: Eukaryota; Viridiplantae; Streptophyta; Magnoliopsida; Alismatales; Zosteraceae.